GAGUUUGAUCCUGGCUCAGGAUGAACGCUGGCGGCGUGCUUAACACAUGCAAGUCGAACGAACCUUCGGGUUAGUGGCGGACGGGUGAGUAACGCGUGAGAAUCUGCCCUCAGGAGGGGGAUAACAGCUGGAAACGGCUGCUAAUACCCCAUAUGCCGCGAGGUGAAAUGAAUUUCGCCUGAGGAUGAGCUCGCGUCUGAUUAGCUAGUUGGUGUAGGUAAUGGCUCACCAAGGCAUCGAUCAGUAGCUGGUCUGAGAGGAUGAUCAGCCACACUGGGACUGAGACACGGCCCAGACUCCUACGGGAGGCAGCAGUGGGGAAUUUUCCGCAAUGGGCGAAAGCCUGACGGAGCAACGCCGCGUGAGGGAUGAAGGCCUCUGGGCUGUAAACCUCUUUUAUCAAGGAAGAAGAUCUGACGGUACUUGAUGAAUAAGCCACGGCUAAUUCCGUGCCAGCAGCCGCGGUAAUACGGGAGUGGCAAGCGUUAUCCGGAAUUAUUGGGCGUAAAGCGUCCGCAGGCGGCCCUUCAAGUCUGCUGCUAAAAAGUGGAGCUCAACUCCAUCAUGGCAGUGGAAACUGAGGGGCUUGAGUGUGGUAGGGGCAGAGGGAAUUCCCGGUGUAGCGGUGAAAUGCGUAGAUAUCGGGAAGAACACCAGUGGCGAAGGCGCUCUGCUGGGCCAUCACUGACGCUCAUGGACGAAAGCCAGGGGAGCGAAAGGGAUUAGAUACCCCUGUAGUCCUGGCCGUAAACGAUGAACACUAGGUGUCGGGGGAAUCGACCCCCUCGGUGUCGUAGCCAACGCGUUAAGUGUUCCGCCUGGGGAGUACGCACGCAAGUGUGAAACUCAAAGGAAUUGACGGGGGCCCGCACAAGCGGUGGAGUAUGUGGUUUAAUUCGAUGCAACGCGAAGAACCUUACCAGGGUUUGACAUCCUGCGAAUCUCUUGGAAACGAGAGAGUGCCUUCGGGAGCGCAGUGACAGGUGGUGCAUGGCUGUCGUCAGCUCGUGUCGUGAGAUGUUGGGUUAAGUCCCGCAACGAGCGCAACCCACGUCUUUAGUUGCCAGCAUUUAGUUGGGCACUCUAGAGAGACCGCCGGUGAUAAACCGGAGGAAGGUGUGGAUGACGUCAAGUCAUCAUGCCCCUUACAUCCUGGGCUACACACGUACUACAAUGCUACGGACAAAGGGCAGCAAGUUCGCGAGGACAAGCAAAUCCCAUAAACCGUGGCUCGGUUCAGAUCGUAGGCUGCAACUCGCCUACGUGAAGGAGGAAUCGCUAGUAAUCGCAGGUCAGCAUACUGCGGUGAAUACGUUCCCGGGCCUUGUACACACCGCCCGUCACACCAUGGAAGUUGGCCACGCCCGAAGCCGUUACUCCAACCCUUGUGGAGGAGGACGUCGAAGGUGGGGCUGAUGACUGGGGUGAAGUCGUAACAAGGUAACC
This 1446-nucleotide ribosomal RNA is filed under the name uncultured marine cyanobacterium. RNAcentral's name for it is "bacterial SSU rRNA". It matches the Rfam family "Bacterial small subunit ribosomal RNA". The record is from RNAcentral. Lineage: Bacteria; Bacillati; Cyanobacteriota.